GACUAACCGUACGAACGUUAUUCGGAAUCACUGGGCUUAAAGGGUGCGUAGGCUGCGCAGCAAGUUGGGUGUGAAAUCCCUCGGCUUAACCGAGGAACUGCGCCCAAAACUGCUGUGCUCGAGGGAGAUAGAGGUGAGCGGAACUUAGGGUGGAGCGGUGAAAUGCGUUGAUAUCCUAAGGAACACCGGUGGCGAAAGCGGCUCACUGGAUCUCUUCUGACGCUGAGGCACGAAAGCUAGGGUAGCGAACGGG
This 253-nucleotide ribosomal RNA is filed under the name uncultured bacterium. RNAcentral's name for it is "partial 16S ribosomal RNA". It matches the Rfam family "Bacterial small subunit ribosomal RNA", at positions 524 to 776 of the family's 1533-position model. The record is from RNAcentral.